UCCGAGUUGUCCCCGGCAGUCCUCUUAGAGUCCCCGGCAUUACCCGCUGGCAACUAAGAGCAGGGGUUGCGCUCGUUGCGGCACUUAAGCCAACACCUCACGGCACGAGCUGACGACAGCCAUGCAGCAUCUGUGUAUCCGUCCCGAAGGAGGCACCCCUUUCAGGGUGUUGCGAAUACAUGUCAAGCCCAGGUAAGGUUCUUCGCGUUACAUCGAAUUAAACCACACGCUCCGCUGCUUGUGCGGGUCCCCGUCAAUUCCUUUGAGUUUUAGUCUUGCGACCGUACUCCCCAGGCGGGCCACUUAAUGCGUUAGCUUCGGCACGGAAGGGGUCAACACCCCCCACACCUAGUGGCCAUCGUUUACUGCUAGGACUAC
RNAcentral lists this unclassified non-coding RNA (378 nucleotides) under uncultured bacterium. Its description in RNAcentral is "contains 16S-23S intergenic spacer region". The record is from RNAcentral.